GACGAACGCUGGCGGCAUGCCUAAUACAUGCAAGUCGAACGCUGAAGCACUCUGCUUGCAGAUUGCGGAUUAGUGGCGAACGGGUGAGUAACACGUGGGUAAUCUGCCUAUAAGAGUGGGAUAACUUUCGGAAACGGAUGCUAAUACCGCAUAUAUUCUUGGACCGCCUGGUUCUUUAGUGAAAGACGGCUUUGCUGUCACUUAUAGAUGAUUCCGCGCCGUAUUAGUUAGUUGGUGGGGUAAAGGCCUACCAAGACAAUGAUACGUAGCCGACCUGAGAGGGUGAUCGGCCACACUGGAACUGAGACACGGCCCAGACUCCUACGGGAGGCAGCAGUAGGGAAUCUUCCACAAUGGGCGAAAGCCUGAUGGAGCAAUGCCGCGUGAAUGAAGAAGGUCUUCGGAUCGUAAAGUUCUGUUAUUAGAGAAGAACAAGUGAAGGAGUAACUGUGUAGACUUUGACGGUACCUAACCAGAAAGUCACGGCUAACUACGUG
This 497-nucleotide ribosomal RNA is filed under the name uncultured bacterium. Its description in RNAcentral is "partial 16S ribosomal RNA". It matches the Rfam family "Bacterial small subunit ribosomal RNA", at positions 28 to 507 of the family's 1533-position model. The record is from RNAcentral.